Non-coding RNA from Dermacentor andersoni, 841 nucleotides. Lineage: Eukaryota; Metazoa; Arthropoda; Arachnida; Ixodida; Ixodidae. The record is from RefSeq and is a predicted model, not a curated record.
CGUAUUAUACGUAUCGCAUAAUCGUCUAGGCUUUGUUCUGUCUUAAAGAUUUACGGAACGGCUGCUCAAGAGUGCCGUUCUGACUUGGAUGACGAUGAAGUCACGCGUAGUCUGUUUUACAUAUUCUGGGAUCGUGCUGCUCAGCGCACCGUUUUGCUGAAAUAUAAUAUCAGAUACGGCUCCUAGUGAAACGCUCCAGUGAAACGAAAUCGUGCUUCAACGUGACACAAUUGCAGAUAAUAUCUCACGACUGGCAAUAUUUCGAGGGUAAGCGACGAGAAUGGCCGCAAUCGCUACAUAAAAAUGUUACAUCCUAAUGUUAGGCGUUGUUGAACUUCAAAUUUGUUCAGCGCUUCAGUGCGCUGAACAAAUGAUGCGGGCGAAGAUUAAACAAUAUACCUAUGACAAAGAAAGGUGUGCAAAUGACUGUGUUGCUGUGGACUGUUGCGGGAAGCCUCUCCCUCGUUUGGGCAUCGAACACGACGGAAGUGCAAAGGAUGACAGCAACUCGACUACCAACGGGGAGCAGAGCCAAGGAAGACGUUUGGGCACCAUGCAGGAAUUACUCCGAGUCGUGCAUAAGCGACAAGGACUGCUGCGACGAGAGGACGUGCUACGAGUACCAGUGCUCCUUCCGGAGGCUGGGGAGGAAAAAAAAAGGCGGGGUAACCACCGCGGCCAACUCACAAGAAAGGGCUCCCGCUGCUCCAUAAACAAUUGGGGAAGGCCUGCCCAACUCACCGGAUGUGGCCUGCAAUCUAAUCGACGCCGCGCACCACAGCUCUUUCUUCCUGCCCAAUAGUUACAUGCUACAGCGUGUGUGUCUGAAUAAAACAUUCCG